UACAGAGGUGGCAAGCGUUGUUCGGAAUUACUGGGCGUAAAGGGCGCGUAGGCGGCUCGACAAGUCCCGCGUGAAAGCCCCCGGCUCAACUGGGGAACUGCGCGGGAAACUGUCGGACUUGAGUUCGGGAGAGGGAAGCGGAAUUCCGGGUGUAGCGGUGAAAUGCGUAGAUAUCCGGAAGAACACCGGUGGCGAAGGCGGUUAGCUGGGCAGUUGCUGACACUGAGGCGCGACAGCGUGGGGAGCAAACAGG
This 253-nucleotide ribosomal RNA is filed under the name uncultured bacterium. RNAcentral describes it as "partial 16S ribosomal RNA". It matches the Rfam family "Bacterial small subunit ribosomal RNA", at positions 524 to 776 of the family's 1533-position model. The record is from RNAcentral.